GACGAACGCUGGCGGCGUGCUUAACACAUGCAAGUCGAACGGAAAGGCCCUGCUUUUGUGGGGUGCUCGAGUGGCGAACGGGUGAGUAACACGUGAGUAACCUGCCCUUGACUUUGGGAUAACUUCAGGAAACUGGGGCUAAUACCGGAUAGGAGCUCCUGCUGCAUGGUGGGGGUUGGAAAGUUUCGGCGGUUGGGGAUGGACUCGCGGCUUAUCAGCUUGUUGGUGGGGUAGUGGCUUACCAAGGCUUUGACGGGUAGCCGGCCUGAGAGGGUGACCGGCCACAUUGGGACUGAGAUACGGCCCAGACUCCUACGGGAGGCAGCAGUGGGGAAUAUUGCAAAAUGGGCGGAAGCCUGAGGCAGCAACGCCGCGGGGGGGAUGACGGCCUUCGGGUUGUAAACCGCUUUCGCCUGUGACGAAGCGUGAGGGACGGUAAUGGGUAAAGAAGCACCGGCUAACUACGUG
This 468-nucleotide ribosomal RNA is filed under the name uncultured bacterium. RNAcentral's name for it is "partial 16S ribosomal RNA". It matches the Rfam family "Bacterial small subunit ribosomal RNA", at positions 28 to 507 of the family's 1533-position model. The record is from RNAcentral.